CUGAAGGCCCCUAACCGGACUUUUCCGUAUGGUUGCUCUCUGGCUGUGCGCCGCGAGGCUUGCACGCUCGAGUCGACCGUCCAUCGACACCUGUGCACUCUGCGGGUCACGUUUGUGGCCCUGCUUUUUCAUUUGUCUACUUAGUUUUGGAUGUCAUUGCUUUUCGUAAUUGAAAAAUA
Molecule: unclassified non-coding RNA, 179 nt
Filed under: uncultured fungus
Lineage: Eukaryota; Fungi
Description: sequence contains ITS1
Source: RNAcentral